AUCCUGGCUCAGGAUGAACGCUGGCGGCGUGCUUAACACAUGCAAGUCGAACGAAGCGCUUAAGAUUGAUUCUUCGGAUGAAGUUUUUUUGUGACUGAGUGGCGGACGGGUGAGUAACGCGUGGGUAACCUGCCUCAUACAGGGGGGAUAACAGUUAGAAAUGACUGCUAAUACCGCAUAAGCGCACAGGGUCGCAUGACCUGGUGCGAAAAACUCCGGUGGUAUGAGAUGGACCCGCGU
This 240-nucleotide ribosomal RNA is filed under the name uncultured bacterium. RNAcentral describes it as "partial 16S ribosomal RNA". It matches the Rfam family "Bacterial small subunit ribosomal RNA", at positions 16 to 236 of the family's 1533-position model. The record is from RNAcentral.